Molecule: unclassified non-coding RNA, 1479 nt
Filed under: Owenia fusiformis
Lineage: Eukaryota; Metazoa; Annelida; Polychaeta; Sabellida; Oweniidae
Description: s-adenosylmethionine mitochondrial carrier protein
Source: RNAcentral
UAUAAGUACUUACCUGUAAUGACUAAGCUAAAUUGCAAUGCACUUUAGCACCUUGAUUUGAUUGCAUGUCAGGUCUAGAUUAUUUAGAUUAUUUAUGGAUCAACAUCUUCAUUGUAAUUGUUGGGCACAAAUAACAGGACCUUACUAUAGUGAUGUGAUUGUUUAGCAUAUGAGCUACAUAUCACCAAGCUUAAAAUAUGACUGAUUGGAAAUCUUUUUACUGGGCAUCAUUUCUUGCUGGGGGAGGGGCAGGGCUUGCUGUGGAUAUUUCCCUGUUCCCAUUAGACACUAUUAAGACUAGACUACAAAGUGCACAGGGCUUCUAUAAUGCUGGGGGCUUCAGGGGAAUAUACUCUGGUUUACCAUCUGCAGCCAUCGGAUCUGUACCAACUGCUGCAGCAUUCUUCCUAACAUACGAGAGCAUGAAACAUCUUCUGAGUCCCAUGUUGUCAGGUCAUGCAGCAGUCUCUCUGUCACACAGUCUAGCAGCUUCAUGCGGAGAAGUGAUGGCAUGUGUGAUCCGUGUACCAGUUGAGGUUGUAAAGCAGAGAGCUCAAGCCAAUCCUAGAUACUCAUCAUUACAUUUUCUCAGGUUAACUUUACGUUCAGAGGGCUUUAGAGGGUUAUAUAGAGGCUACUUAAGCACUGUGAUGCGUGAGGUUCCAUUUUCCUUUAUUGAGAUGCCAAUAUGGGAGUACCUCAAAAAAUACUGGUCUGUAAGGCAGGGUUCACCUGUAGAAGCAUGGCAGUCAUCUAUAUGUGGGGCAAUAGCAGGGGGGCUAGCAGCUGGUAUAACAACACCAUUAGAUGUAGCAAAGACUCGGAUCAUGUUAGCACAUAAAACAUCUGCAAUAGCUCAAGGCCACAUCUUAUUUGCAAUGCAAACAAUUUACAAAGAAAAUGGAAUUAGAGGGUUGUUUGCUGGAAUAAUACCUAGGAUGAUGUGGAUAUCUAUAGGUGGCGCCAUAUUCUUGGGGGUAUAUGACAAAAUCAAGUGCAUUAUGACUUUACCUGAGCUCGAACAAAGCAGUGAAAUUGUAGCAAUGCGAUGAGUUUUAUCGGAUGAAUAUACUGCAGUAUGAAAUGGGGCAAAAUAUAAUGGUGAUAUUCACUAAAGGUUAGAUGGUUAACUGAAACCAUGGAGCUCCGACCGUCAUUAGGUUUGUUUGGUUCUGAAAAAUCCCUCGGUUUUUUUUUUAGCAGAAUAUUAAUUGAGGGAAAAUUACCAUUCAUAAAUGCACACUCACUAAAAUACAUGUAACAUUAAAAAUCGAUAUGGGCGAUGCAAAUAAAGUGCAAAAUACAGUGAUCAAACAGGCUAAUUUUGUUCUUUUUUUAUCAAAGCAGAAUAUAAUUGUGCGAUAAGAACCGAGAAUAACCAAACUGACAACCGAACCAAGGGAGUCUAAAACCGAACCAAACCGAACAUUUUGAAACUGUCUGACCCCUAAUAUUCACUGGGCAAAAUGGUUAGAAGAC